Molecule: long non-coding RNA, 2920 nt
Organism: Triticum aestivum (bread wheat)
Lineage: Eukaryota; Viridiplantae; Streptophyta; Magnoliopsida; Poales; Poaceae
Exons: 4
Source: RefSeq, a predicted model, not a curated record
CCGUGGAGGCCUGCUCCUCAUGCUCCUCCUCUGGAUCUAAUUCUUGAUUCUUGCGUCGGUCUGAACUGUGCGAUUUACGUUUCGUCAGAGGUCUGUUCUUGGGAUUCUAGUGCUGUUGAUCUCGUCAAGGGCCUCAUCUGCUUUCUUUCAUCUUGUGAAGGUGAUUAUUAUUAGUACUUUCCCUGCUAAUUGUUUACUGUUUCAAUACAUUUUGUUCCUCUAACAUAGUGUCUUUAGCGUUCUUGGUAGAACGGUUUUAUUGUGCAUGGAAUGUUUUAUCCUCUCACCUUAUACUAUUUAUUUGUGUGCUUACAUAUAUUCUUUCCUGCUUCGUAUUGUGUAAUUACUUCGUUUACCUAGAAUGUGUGCUCUGGUGUCCUUUGUUCUUCCAAUUUUGGAACUGUGGCAGCACAAUGUGCAUUGCUUCCGCCUUUUUACUUGUGUGAGAUCGACGGGAAUGGUCAUGUGCUUGCUGGUGUAGAGAUUGAUGUUCCUGGGGAUGGCCUUAUAGGUAAUAAACCUAGGUUUAUUUUAGAUUCAAAUCACUUAGCUUUUUUUGAGCCAUGGAACCUACAGUUUUACACUGCCAGAUUGAGACAUGGAAAUUCAUGAUGUACUUUGCGAGACCCCUGUCCGUUAGUGCCUCUUUGAUCGGCUCUGCUAUGGCAUUGGAUAAGCCUUUAGUAUAGUGAGCUUUGGUAGAAAAUGGUUCUGCCAUUCUUGAACAGCACCUGUACUAAAACUGAAUAAUUAAAUGCAACCAACAUAGACUUUCCUGCUAUCUAUGAUUACUCAACAAGUUCUUUUAGUUUUAGUCUGACAUGGUAGCUAACACCAAUUGUUCAUAUCUAUCUUCUUUGACCAUACUACAUAUGCAUAGUACUGAUCAAUGGCAAUAAUCCUUAUAUGGCCUUUUUUAUGAGCGAUAAUCUAACAUUUAUAAAAUCAUCUUAGGAUUUCCUAAUGGAUCCUGUACACAUUCCACCAAGGGUUAUUUUGGAUGCUAUGCUGAACACACUCUAUAGCUCCCAAAAGCUGUGUACUACACCCAGCCUACAGGAGACAUUGGUAUAGAGACUGAUUGAGUAUUAUCCAUCUCUGCAGCACUUGCCAAAGAGCACUGUCAAGAGAUUUGUUUGUCAGUCUGAGUCAUCUUGCUACUUUUGCACGUUUAUUUGCAUAUGAAAUCACCAGAAUUUUCGCCAUGGCUCUGGUUCUUGACAUGGUGCUUAAAAGCACUCAUCCCAUCUUGAUUAUUCGCAUACAGUUUUUUGUUUUUGUUUUUACUGAUUCACUUCUAUCGACAUUUUUUUAUGUCCCUUUUUAUGACCAGCUUGGUCAUUUGGUCUGGAUGGAGUCAUUCAACUCGGAAAGAAAAAAGAAUUUGAGAAUGCUUUAUCUUUCAUGCAAUAGUUGCGGUCAAUUGUUCUUGGUUUUUCCUGUAGUAGUUGAUAAUCAGUCUGAACAAUAGUAGAUUAGUAAAGCCAAUAGCAGUUAAUUUGAGACGACUUUUAUCUUCCCUACAGUAGUUAAGGUUGAUUGUUCUUAGUUUUCCCUGUAGUGUUUAAUUUGAUUGUUCUGAGCAUUCAAAUUGUACUCUGUUUGUUUCUCUCCUACUCUUUUCUGACAAAUGUUAUUAUCUGUGCUUCAUUACUACUCUCUCUAAAUCAUGUGAGAGUUGAAUGAUGUUGCAGGAUAACUAUUGAUGGUGAAAAGAUUGUUGUUUUUUAUACUGGUAUAGGGGGGGUAUAAUACAAAUGGUCCUUCAAAUCCAGUUGGAAGCUCCUCCCUGUAAUUGAUGAAGGCAGGAUUUACUAUUUCUAGGGAGUAAGAGGUUUAUUUGUUGAACCAUGAUAUCUAAGGGAGUAAGAGGCAACGUCCAGGGGUAUCUAAGAGAGCUGGUCCAGGCUUGAUGGAAAUCGCUUAGUACAUUCAUGGGAUCACAAACUUUUGGCGUUGGUUGAGAUUAGUGACGCAGGACCAUUAAUAACUAGAAGACUGUGACAAUUAACUUACUGUUUCAUGAAUUAGAGAGGCUGGGUUGGACCAACUCCAUGUUACAGGCCCUUUCCUCAUUGCAUUUCUCUUGACAUUAAAUUGAUUAAAUUAUAAUUUCAGUAGGAAAUCUACAACAUACUCAGAUCAUUAUGAUUACUCUUUCCUGUUUUUGUUUCUAUAUCUAAUUGAUAUAUAGAUUUUGCAUCUUGUCCUAUGACAUGUACUUCUGUAGUUGUGUCCAUUGGACUUACUCUUUUCAUUGUGGCAUCAUGAUUCCUCCUUUUCUUGGCUUGCUAUAUAUGUUUGUUUCAUGGUCCAGUUGGUGUUCCAAAAAUAUGCUCAAUUGUUAUAUGUAUCAAAUACAGUCUCUCCCAGUGGUGUACCAUCUGCUUAUUGUUUUACAUACAGUCGCUUGAUUAUUUUUGUUCCUCUAUAGGCCUCUGGUCCUGUCUGCAGUGUACGGCUAGGUUGUUCGUCCGCCUGGGUCGUAGGUUCUUUCCUUCCUGUUGACGGCAGGUACAAGACUCGAGCAAUGGUUAACGGGCAAGCACUAUAUACACCAUUCAUCUAUGCUAAUAUAGCCUGUCUUUUAAAGCCAAUGUAUGCUAUCACCAAUUGAUCGGAAUAUUUUCUUUCAAGCAUAGCUUUCAUGUAAUGGAAUAUAAGUAUCUUUAUAAGUUGAUUCUAAAUCAAUCUCAUACACAUACUUUGAAUGCUUGGCUCGCUCUCGCUUUUUGCGCCAUGGUCAAGGGUGCAACGAUGACUCUGUCUAAUGUUUAUCACUUCAUAGCGCCUAUAUGUGACUAUCUACUUUGUUUGCUAAUAACAUUGUAAAUAAUUAAUCGUAAGCUUCUUAGAACACUAUGUAUCAUUACUAAGUAUCUAUCUACCAGCAAUAAGUACUUAUUUUCAUAUGUUUCAA